RNAcentral lists this long non-coding RNA (509 nucleotides) under Ursus americanus (American black bear). Its description in RNAcentral is "lncRNA (ENSUAMG00000007629.1)". Lineage: Eukaryota; Metazoa; Chordata; Mammalia; Carnivora; Ursidae. The record is from RNAcentral.
CAAAGACUCAAGAUAUUCUUUCACUGCAACUUCUCAUUAUUGGAAUUGAGUCUGUCCUUGUUUUUCUAGUGUCUUCGGAGAAGUGCUACUCUAAAUAAAAGGAUUUUCCAAGUCACCAAAAAGUGUACUCCUUCAAGCACAAAAGGUUUUCAUCACUUUUAGAUAUCUUGGAUCCUGGAAGUCUUUGUAAAAUCGCUGUGCCUUGUUUUAUAAAACAGCAAACGCAUAAGAUAAUGAGGGUCUGCUUUUCUGUGUGUGUUCCUAUCUCCAGGCUGGUGGUAAUAUGGCUGGCAGAGUUCCACACCUUACAUUCAUAUACCGUGAUAUCCAGGGAUUUGGUUUCCUCGCUCCAGGAAACUGUGGAGGGUGGAAGUUGAGUAAAAGAAGAAGAGCCAGACCACAAGAUCCAGGACCUGAGCCUGAAUAGCAGUUGCUGUGAGGCCCAUGAGUCUCUUGGACACAGCUUGAGGGGAGUUGUGUCCCUAGAAUAAAGAAUGUGGUCAGAGACA